AACGAACGCUGGCGGCAUGCCUAACACAUGCAAGUCGAACGAGACCUUCGGGUCUAGUGGCGCACGGGUGCGUAACGCGUGUGAAUCUGCCCUUGGUUUCGGAAUAACAGUGAGAAAUUACUUCUAAUACCGGAUGAUUUCUUCGGACCAAAGAUUUAUCGCCCAGGGAUGAGCCCGCGUAGGAUUAGCUAGUUGGUGGGGUAAUGGCCUACCAAGGCGACGAUCCUUAGCUGGUCUGAGAGGAGGAUCAGCCACACUGGGACUGAGACACGGCCCAGACUCGUACGGGAGGGAGCAGUGGGGAAUAUUGGACAAGGGGCGCAAGCCUGAUAAAGCAAUGCCGCGUGAGUGAUGAAGGCCGUAGGGUUGUAAAGCUGUUUUACACGGGAUGAUAAUGACAGUACCGGGAGAAUAAGCACCGGCUAACUCCGUG
Molecule: ribosomal RNA, 433 nt
Filed under: uncultured bacterium
Lineage: Bacteria
Description: partial 16S ribosomal RNA
Rfam family: Bacterial small subunit ribosomal RNA
Source: RNAcentral